Molecule: long non-coding RNA, 423 nt
Organism: Lates calcarifer (barramundi perch)
Lineage: Eukaryota; Metazoa; Chordata; Actinopteri; Centropomidae
Exons: 3
Source: RefSeq, a predicted model, not a curated record
ACCUUAUUAAACUGCUAUUGCUAACACGUUAGCAAACAAUUGUCUACUUACACGUCCAGUAUAUGUUUCCAUGCCAGGCUGUGUUCACUGGGAUCCAAACCCUCAGUGUGAUUCAGGGUCCAGGUCCAGGUCCAGUGAGCUCAUCAGAUAUUCUCCUCCAUCCAUCCAUCCUGAGUUGAAGAUGUAACUCCGGGGAGAGUUCUCUCUUCCUCACUGAGCCAUCACUAGAUCUUCUUUUUUCUGUUCUGGCUUCAGAGCAACGGGGGAAGAGAGCGCUCCGCCAAAUAGCCCAGUGGAGGCGCAUUAAGAACGCUUGACUGGGCGUUUGGGAGGAACCUCCAGUCCUGGCGGCAAGAGACUCUAUCUGACGAAGGUGGAGAGGAAAUCUCCCGUCUGCAGAGUGUUGUGUAACCACAGAAUAUA